CCUACGGGAGACAGCAGUGAGGAAUAUUGGUCAAUGGGCGUAAGCCUGAACCAGCCAAGUCGCGUGAGGGAUGAAGGUUCUCUGGAUCGUAAACCUCUUUUAUAAGGGAAUAAAGUGCGGGACGUGUUCCGUUUUGUAUGUACCUUAUGAAUAAGGAUCGGCUAACUCCGUGCCAGCAGCCGCGGUAAUACGGAGGAUCCGAGCGUUAUCCGGAUUUCUUGGGUUUAAAGGGUGCGUAGGCGGCCAUUUAAGUCAGCGGUGAACUGCCCCCGCGCAACGUGGUGAAGUGCCAUUGAUACUGCGUUGCUGGAAUGCGGAUGCCGGGGGAGGAAUGUGUGGUGUAGCGGUGAAAUGCAUAGAUAUCACACAGAACACCGAUGGCGAAGGCAUCUCACUAAUCCGCGAUUGACGUUGAUGCACGAAAGCGUGGGUAUCAAACAGGAUUAGAUACCCGAGUAGUC
RNAcentral lists this ribosomal RNA (461 nucleotides) under uncultured bacterium. RNAcentral's name for it is "partial 16S ribosomal RNA". It matches the Rfam family "Bacterial small subunit ribosomal RNA", at positions 338 to 795 of the family's 1533-position model. The record is from RNAcentral.